GUCCACGCCGUAAACGAUGGGUACUAGGCGUCGGGGGAGCGACCCCUUCGGUGCCGUCGCUAACGCAGUAAGUACCCCGCCUGGGGAGUACGGCCGCAAGGCUGAAACUCAAAGGAAUUGACGGGGGCCCGCACAAGCGGUGGAGCAUGUGGUUUAAUUCGAGGCAACGCGAAGAACCUUACCUGGGCUUGACAUGCUGGUGAAAGCCGGUGGAAACAUCGGUCCCUCUUCGGAGCACCAGCACAGGUGCUGCAUGGCUGUCGU
Molecule: ribosomal RNA, 264 nt
Filed under: uncultured bacterium
Lineage: Bacteria
Description: partial 16S ribosomal RNA
Rfam family: Bacterial small subunit ribosomal RNA
Source: RNAcentral